This 253-nucleotide ribosomal RNA is filed under the name uncultured bacterium. RNAcentral's name for it is "partial 16S ribosomal RNA". It matches the Rfam family "Bacterial small subunit ribosomal RNA", at positions 524 to 776 of the family's 1533-position model. The record is from RNAcentral.
UACGGAAUGUGCAAACGUUAUUCGGAAUCACUGGGCUUAAAGAGUCCGUAGGCGGCAUGUUAGGUGAGGUGUGAAAUCCCCCGGCUUAACCGAGGAAUUGCGCUUCAAACCGGCGUGCUUGAGGAAGAUAGAGGUGGGCGGAACUGAUGGUGGAGCGGUGAAAUGCGUUGAUAUCAUCAGGAACACCGGAGGCGAAGGCGGCCCACUGGGUCUUUUCUGACGCUGAGGGACGAAAGCUAGGGGAGCGAACGGG